GAUGAAGAACGUAGCGAAAUGCGAUACGUAAUGUGAAUUGCAGAAUUCAGUGAAUCAUCGAAUCUUUGAACGCAUAUUGCGCUCUCUGGUAUUCCGGAGAGCAUGCUUGUUUGAGUAUCAGUAAACACCUCAACUUCCAUAUCUUUUUUGAAAUGGGAGUUGGACUUGAGUGAUCCCAACGCUUUUCCUCACCGAAAAGUGGCGGGUUACUUGAAAUGCAGGUGCAGCUGGACUUUUCUCUGAGCUAUAAGCAUAUCUAUUUAGUCUGCCUAAAAAACAGAUUAUUACCUUUGCUGCAGCUAACAUAAAGGAGAUUAGUUCUUGUGCUGACUGAUGCAGGAUUCACAAAGACGGCUUCGGCCGACUUUGUAAACUCGAUCUCAAAUCAAGUAAGACUACCCGCUGAACUUAAGCAUAUCAAUAGCGGGGGA
This 431-nucleotide unclassified non-coding RNA is filed under the name soil metagenome. Its description in RNAcentral is "partial contains 5.8S ribosomal RNA, internal transcribed spacer 2, and large subunit ribosomal RNA". The stretch from base 1 to 120 matches the Rfam family "5.8S ribosomal RNA", at positions 35 to 154 of the family's 154-position model. The record is from RNAcentral.